RNAcentral lists this ribosomal RNA (387 nucleotides) under uncultured bacterium. RNAcentral's name for it is "bacterial SSU rRNA". It matches the Rfam family "Bacterial small subunit ribosomal RNA", at positions 30 to 418 of the family's 1533-position model. The record is from RNAcentral.
AUUGAACGCUGGCGGCAUGCCUUACACAUGCAAGUCGAACGGCAGCACGGGAGCAAUCCUGGUGGCGAGUGGCGAACGGGUGAGUAAUAUAUCGGAACGUGCCCAGUCGUGGGGAUAACGUAGCGAAAGCUACGCUAAUACCGCAUACGAUCUAUGGAUGAAAGCGGGGGAUCGCAAGACCUCGCGCGAUUGGAGCGGCCGAUAUCAGAUUAGGUAGUUGGUGAGGUAAAGGCUCACCAAGCCGACGAUCUGUAGCUGGUCUGAGAGGACGACCAGCCACACUGGGACUGAGACACGGCCCAGACUCCUACGGGAGGCAGCAGUGGGGAAUUUUGGACAAUGGGCGCGAGCCUGAUCCAGCAAUGCCGCGUGCAGGAUGAAGGCCUC